GAAUUCGAUUCGGUGUGACAAGGCCCGGGAACGUAUUCACCGCGGCGUGCUGAUCCGCGAUUACUAGCGAUUCCAACUUCAUGGAGUCGAGUUGCAGACUCCAAUCCGAACUGAGAGCGGCUUUUUGGGAUUGGCUCCCCCUCGCGGGUUUGCGACCCUUUGUACCGCCCAUUGUAGCACGUGUGUGGCCCUGGACAUAAGGGCCAUGAUGACUUGACGUCGUCCCCACCUUCCUCCGGCUUAACGCCGGCAGUCUCCCUAGAGUGCCCAACUGAAUGGUGGCAACUAAGGACGAGGGUUGCGCUCGUUGCGGGACUUAACCCAACACCUCACGGCACGAGCUGACGACAGCCAUGCAGCACCUGAACCGGCGGUCCCCGAAAGGAAAAUCCUAUUUCUAGGAUGGUCCGCCGUUGUCUAGCCCAGGUAAGGUUCUUCGCGUUAAUCACUA
This 451-nucleotide ribosomal RNA is filed under the name uncultured soil bacterium. RNAcentral's name for it is "partial 16S ribosomal RNA". The record is from RNAcentral.